This 2041-nucleotide long non-coding RNA is filed under the name Homo sapiens (human). RNAcentral describes it as "HSALNT0387439". The record is from RNAcentral. Lineage: Eukaryota; Metazoa; Chordata; Mammalia; Primates; Hominidae.
AGAACAGGAUUUCUGAGCAUGCAGUCAUAACUCUAGGUCAUUCAUUAAUUUCAGGCCCUGCUAGCAGAUACCAAGGAUGACAGUGAAAACAGUCACACGGAAGAAGGAGGGAGGGAGGACCGUGCACUACAAAGAACUCUUUUACACCGAGUUGAGAAAUCAUCGGGUUGUUAGAAUUGGACAGAACAUUUAACUCCCAUUCCUUUAUCAUCUAAAAUCUGAUAUCAUGUCAUUUGGUUCACUUCCUACAAAUAAUUACCUUUUGGCUACAUCAAGGUUAUAAUGAUAAGUUAUCAUUUCGGAGCCCAGACUACAGCCCUCGAACCAAGCUAAGUGACUUAAGUGUGCCAUCUCAUUUAACCCCCACAAAGAUUAUACUUGGCCAGGCUGAUAUCACUUAUUUCAUUUCACAGAUGAGGAUAUUGAUCUCAUGGUCACAAAGCUAGUAAACGGCCGAGAAUCACGCCUCGGUCUGUCCAGCUUCAAAACCUGGAUCCAUCACCAUGACACGCUGCUGAAUGAGGCCCGGGUUCGAGAGUAUCACACUUUAAAAAUAUCAUGAUGCAGAUGAGGAUGUGGUACAGUGAUGACUACCAUGUACACAGUACAUUCUAGACACACACUGUCCCCAAGUGCUUCUCUGCAUCUUCACUUAGUCCCCACUGCAACCCCAUGAGGCCAGCACUGUGACUGGAGGAUGCUGAGAGCAGUGAGGUGAAAUAAGCUGCCCGGCGUCACACAGCUGGGAACUGGCAGAAUUGGGAUUCCAGCUCAGGGAAGCGCCCAUGCUCUUAACUCUUAGGCUACACUGCCUGGCUCUUGGGUGGGGGAUCACUGCAGACAGAGUUAAGCUUUGGUGUGUGGGGGGCGGGGGAGGCAGGGGGAGGGGCAGGUGCUUCAAAGAUGGAAGGGAACACAGAGAAGGGACUUUGCCAACUAAUAUUAGCACAAGUCACAUACUGAGACGAAGGUUUUAAAGAGGAUUUUUUUCCCCCGCUAUUUGAGUUCAUGAGAAGAGUUUGUUACCUAUUGAACAAAUAGUCUUCACUAAUAAAGAACAAUGUGACAAGAAGUCAGCACUGUUCUUAGAUAACUGGGGACACAGGGAGGGCACUCCAGUGUUCCCAUGGAAGGAAUGAAUUCGGGCACAGUCCGUCCCGUGCAACUCCCCUAGGGAGAGAAGGGGCAACUGGAUUCCUCUCGACAAACUAGAAACUUUGUGACAAUGACAAGCUGUUCCCACCCCGGCCCUCCCCUAGGAUGCUGGAGAGCCCAGAGAGGGAAGAGAAGAAACCCAGCGUUGGUGCGGUGCCCACCGCGGACUCGACUUCAUUCCACCUUCACGCUGAGAGGUGACACCGUCGUUCCCACAGUGAGACCUGGCGCUCGGGUGCCCCAGGGGGGGUUGCCCAAGGUCACAGAACAGCAAGCAGCAGGCCAAGAUACCUAGAGAGAGUUCGCGGGGCCGGAGGCUCCCUGCUGUCUCCUGCAAGUGCGUGGGGGUGGGGUCUGAUUUCCACCCGUGUUGGACGUCAGCGGCCUCCGACGCUUUUUGGAAGCAGACUUUUCAGGAACACCUGCUGUGUGGCCGGCACUGUAGUAGGUGCCAGGGAUACAAAGAAGAAACUUUCAGGGCUCUUAGGAAGACAGGAAAACAAGUCAAUCAGCAAUGGUCCUAGCGUGAGCCUAUAACUCAGCAUGAACAUCGGCCUUCCGGGUGUUGUGUUCAUCAUGAAUGAGAAGACGUGCAACCUGGUGUAUGGGGGCCGGAGUAAGGGCCUAAGACAAGCUCAUCCACACAUGACCUUGACAUGAAAACGGUGUGGACUCGGCUAACUUGGCUUCACCCUGCGUUCCCCAACAGCACUUUGUGAACCACUCUCUCAGUCUUUUUCUUUCAGUAACGUUUUGUGUCCUCCCAAAUUAUAAAAGUAAUGCAUGCUUUACUCAGCUACUCUCAAUACAGAAAAGUUCAAAACAAAAAACCAAACAGCCAUGUGUAGUGGCUCAUGCCGGUAAUUCCAGCACUUUGGGAGGAAAA